AAGUCGUAACAAGGUUUCCGUAGGUGAACCUGCGGAAGGAUCAUUAACACUAAUGAAAUCCAAAACCUUUUGGAUCAACCCAACCUUAGCGAACCGUUCGUAUUUUCCCUUGCCCAAUUUUACCAAACGCAAAAAACUCUGAUGUAAAGUGUCUGAUUCUUAUUCUCGUUUCGGUUGUAACGACCAGCGGGAAUCAAAAUCUAACGCAAUACAACUCUUAACAACGGAUAUCUUGGCUCUC
RNAcentral lists this unclassified non-coding RNA (241 nucleotides) under fungal sp. RNAcentral describes it as "partial internal transcribed spacer region". The stretch from base 1 to 46 matches the Rfam family "Eukaryotic small subunit ribosomal RNA", at positions 1786 to 1831 of the family's 1831-position model. Lineage: Eukaryota; Fungi. The record is from RNAcentral. RNAcentral also lists the same sequence under 1 other name.